GGGUAUGGCUGCAGCCUGGAGCGUCCCGUGUCAUCCGCCCCGUCUCAUGCCGAGGUGUGUCCAAUGGUAAUUUCAGAGGAUUAAGCGAGGAGAA
Etheostoma cragini (Arkansas darter) is the source of this 94-nucleotide long non-coding RNA. RefSeq lists it as uncharacterized. The record is from RefSeq and is a predicted model, not a curated record. NCBI's taxonomy places the organism in Eukaryota, Metazoa, Chordata, Actinopteri, Perciformes, Percidae. The transcript has 3 exons.